UGGGAAAGCUGGUCAAGUGGCCACUUGCUCACCUCAAGACAAUGAAUGAAGCUUUCCUGGAUGCUAAGUGACUGCCACCUUGUGAGCUAAGCCUGGCAAGACCUUUGGGCUACACUUCCCUCCUCACUGUGAGCUGUGGCUUGGGCAGGCUCAAAGGGGCCCACUCACUCUGCAGAUGUGCCUCAGGGACAUGGAUGACUCUGCCAGCUGCACUUGAGGGCAAAAUAAUCAUUUACAGCUUCCCAGGCUACACCUCUUGGACAUACACAUUGGAGGAAACAGAUGUCUGCUGUAAAAUUAACAAGAGCACUUCUACAUCCAGACAGUGAUGAAUAAACUCAAAGGAAAGGAAAAUCAUUUGGCAACCGGAAGGUGUGGGAGGAUAGCUGUAAAUGAAACUGACGGCAAAAAACAGAGCAGAGAAGUUUAAAGAAAAAAAAUAACAGCAUUCCUGGUGAUGCCCCAUUGGGCCAAUGAAACAAACACAUUCUGAAGCCUUUCCUAACCAGGAGCCAACCAAUCUCAUCACUGUGAAGCCAGAAAACCCUAUCUAUUGAAGAUGACUGCUUUCUUCUACUGUAGCUGGCAAUUUUAUGAAAUGAAGAAAAUUUGCUCUAGUUGCAAGUGACACACACCUCUUAAAUGUCUGCUAUCAAUUAAAAGUAAAAUACUGGUUACUUGCAACUAUCAAUUAGAUACAAUGCACUCCAGGAGAUCAGGAGCCUUGGCAUUCAGACAUAGGAGCAUUUUUUUGGCUUUGCCAUUUACUUGCAAUGUGACCUUGAUGAGAGAGAAGUUGAUGCUCAGCGAGGUGAAGUAAUUUGCCCAGGGUUAAGAUUCAAAUGCAAGUCUGGGGACCCUGAAGUCUGCUUCUUUUCACUGUGCUGCGUAGUGGCCUUAGCCUUUCCUUUCUAACAGAGAAGCCAAGACAGCAUACCUGUGUCUGAGUGCCCCAGUGGUGUGCACAUCUAUUACCUCAGGAAGAAAGAAUGUCUGAGGAGACGAAAUUUGCAAACAGUUACAAAGGACUGCACACACAAAUAUGAAUAAAGCCUCUUGAACACCAGAGUAAAGGAAUGUAGGUCAAAUAAUUGCCCUGUUCAGUGUCUCCCUCUCCCUCUUCAUUACCCAACUCCUCUCAUUUGCAUACAUGAGGCCCCAAGUGGAAGAUAACUUGGUGGAAAAUUCCAGGAGCUUUGCAACUAUCAUUAAAAGCAAAAGUUCAAGAAAUAAGGAAAGAAUUUUAAAUUCACUUUGUUUUAACUCAUGAUUAUUCUAAUUUAAAAGCUCAGAUUUAGUAAUGUGUUCAGAGCCAACUAGGCAUAGAAAACUGUAGCAAGCCUCUGGAAAAAUAAGCCUUGUUUGGCUGUUUUUUUUGGUUGUUGUUGUUGUUGUUUUGUUUUUGUUUUUUGAGACAGAGUCUCACUCUGUUGCCUAGUCUGGAGUGCAAUGGCAUGAUAUCG
Molecule: long non-coding RNA, 1463 nt
Filed under: Homo sapiens (human)
Lineage: Eukaryota; Metazoa; Chordata; Mammalia; Primates; Hominidae
Description: HSALNT0063081
Source: RNAcentral